UUUUCCCUAAUCCAUCAUACUAAACGCCAUAUGCUGAAAAAUAACAAAGCAAAUGAGAAGAAAAAUGCUUAUGGAAAAGUGUUUAACAUGCUUUGACUAUUAUUCACCGUUAACCUCAAUCGCGUUGAAGCACAGGACAACGCUCGAACGGAUCGUACCAACACCACCAUGUUCAUCCGUCUCUCAACCUCGCACCUAACAAUCGUCAUCGUCAUUCACUGAUGCUUCACGGCUUAGGAUCGUUCAUCGAUCAGUUCUGACGCGGUAUCUCGACAUUUCGUAGCCCAACGAUUCGACUCUUACAAGAUGAGUAACAAUAGUUAUUGUAUUCUACGGUGUCGAAUCGAUCUUUUAAUCGCAUCGAAUCAGUAAGAGAGGGAGCUUACCCGAGUGAAUCGGUCAUUACUUUGGCGGAGCCAGUUGUGCACGAAUCUGAGCCUCGAUCGGAUUAUGGUACCGGAUUCUCGCAGGAUCGUUGAGCGGCGAAAACUAGAGGAUCGACAUUGACCACAAAGAGAUCUUGCAGGUAUUUGGAAGAAGGUUGGAGGCUAGGUAUGUUGUGAAUCUUGCGCGCAUGAAAGAGGAAUGGAGAACUUUCUUCAAUGUGGAGGAAGAGGGUGGAAGAACUCUUGAAAAUCGACUCCAGGAAAAAAAACAAAUUUACUAUGAGUCUCUCAAUUUAUAACUUGAAUCUUAAGUUCAAUCUCAAUUGCAAAUGUCGCGUUUCAUAUUUUGUUUAUCGUUUACGCCUCGCUGCAUUGCGUUUCGAAAUGGAAAUCAAGUUGCAUUUUUAUUUCCGGCGUUGCGUUUUGAUUAUUUUAAUUUGUUUUUUAAUUUGAUAUGUUGCAGCUUGGUGUCGUUGGUUGUGGAUCGCGUUGUUGCGUGUUUUGGUGGCUUACGGUUGGCUUGCGUCGUUUGCAGCAUUUGGAUGCCGUUUUGAUUUGCUGUUGCAUUCUGUUGGUUUCUUCUGCAGUUUGGCACCUGCGUUUAUGCUUGCUUUUCCACCUGCAAAUUGCUACUUAUUUUUUCGUUUGGCUUAUUGGAUAAUGUAAACUGUUAUUGGAUAUGGGAUUAUGUGAUUUAAUUGAUAAAUGGUUAGAAAUAGAUAAAUGUGACUAUUUGGUUUAAUGAAUGAUUUUAUUAUGGGAUUA
RNAcentral lists this long non-coding RNA (1151 nucleotides) under Lathyrus oleraceus (garden pea). RNAcentral's name for it is "Pisum sativum (pea) long non-coding RNA (PSAT_LNC004084)". Lineage: Eukaryota; Viridiplantae; Streptophyta; Magnoliopsida; Fabales; Fabaceae. The record is from RNAcentral.